GGGUAGCAAUAUUCUUUAGUUGGAGUGGCGCAAGGGUGCGUAACACGUGGGUAAUUUGCCAUGAAGUUCGGGAUAACUCGCUGAAAGGCGAGCUAAUACCGGAUGUGGUUAUCGGGAGGCAUCUCCUGAUUACUAAAGUUGGGGACCGUAAGGCCUGACGCUUCAUGAUAAGCCCGCGGCCUAUCAGCUAGUUGGUGAGGUAAUGGCUCACCAAGACGAUGAUCGGUAGCUGGUCUGAGAGGAUGAUCAGUCACACGGGAACUGAGACACGGUCCCGACUCCUACGGGGGGCAGCAGUGAGGAAUAUUGCACAAUGGACGCAAGUCUGAUGCAGCAACGCCGCGUGGAGGAUGACGGUCUUCGGAUUGUAAACUCCUUUUCCCAGGGAAGAGAAUGGACGGUACCUGGGGAAUAAGUCACGGCUAACUACGUGCCAGCAGCCGCGGUAAUACGUAGGUGGCAAGCGUUAUCCGGAAUUACUGGGCGUAAAGCGCACGCAGGCGGUUUCUUAAGUUUGACGUGAAAACUCCUGGCUUAACUGGGAGAGGUCGUUGGAGACUGGGGAACUUGAGGCAAUGAGAGGGAUGUAGAAUUCACGGUGUAGUGGUGGAAUGCGUAGAUAUCGUGAGGAAUACCAGUGGCGAAAGCGGCAUCCUGGCAUUAGCCUGACGCUCAGGUGCGAAAGCGUGGGGAGCGAACGGGAUUAGAUACCCCGGUAGUCCACGCCGUAAACGAUGAACACUAGGUGUAGGUGGUGUGAAAGCUAUCUGUGCCGAAGCCAACGCGUUAAGUGUUCCGCCUGGGGAGUACGGCCGCAAGGCUAAAACUCAAAUGAAUUGACGGGGGCCCGCACAAGCGGUGGAGCAUGUGGUUUAAUUCGAAGCAACGCGAAGAACCUUACCU
This 903-nucleotide ribosomal RNA is filed under the name uncultured bacterium. RNAcentral describes it as "bacterial SSU rRNA". It matches the Rfam family "Bacterial small subunit ribosomal RNA", at positions 74 to 976 of the family's 1533-position model. The record is from RNAcentral.